RNAcentral lists this ribosomal RNA (521 nucleotides) under Megaphragma giraulti. RNAcentral describes it as "partial large subunit ribosomal RNA". Lineage: Eukaryota; Metazoa; Arthropoda; Insecta; Hymenoptera; Trichogrammatidae. The record is from RNAcentral.
AAACCGUUCAGGGGUAAACCUGAGAAACCCAAAAGAUCGAAUGGGGAGACUCAUCGUCAGCUGCGUUGGCUUGCGUGUGGCUCGCGAUGCUCGUUGGCGUUUCGGCGUUUUCAACGGGUACGCGGUCGCUGCGUUAUGUCCGAUGUUGGUCGGCGUGCACUUCUCCCCUAGUAGGACGUCGCGACCCGUUGGGUGUCGGUCUACGGCCCGCGAGGUUGACUGACGAGCCGCGUUCACGCGCGCGCUUGUCAGACCCGCGGUUGCCCGGCCGACUGCCCGGCGGUAAAGAUCGCUAUUCGAAUGGUAUCGAGCCGCAUUUUGAAUGCGUUCAUUAUGGCUCGUCGGCAGGUGAGCCUCGCUUGAAUUUUACGGACCUAGCGCCGUUGUCGAGUGCUUGUCGCUUGCCGUUUCGCCGACGAUGUCCUCGGACGGGCUCUUGUAACGCGCUUUCGAGCGCGUUUACCGGUCGGCGACGCUUCUGCUUUGGGUACUUUCAGGACCCGUCUUGAAACACGGACCAA